GACGAACGCUGGCGGCGUGCUUAACACAUGCAAGUCGAGCGGAGCGGCGAACGGGUGAGUAACGCGUGAGUAACUGCCCCCCUCUCUGGGAUAACAGUUGGAAACGGGUGCUAAUACCGGAUAGUGGGGGAUGACUCGCGUCCUAUCAGCUUGUUGGUGGGGUAGUGGCCUACCAAGGCGACGACGGGUCGCCGGCCUGAGAGGGCGACCGGCCAAAUUGGGGUGAGAUACGUCCAAAACUCCUACGGUGGGCAGCAGUGGGGAAUAUUGCACAAUGGGGGAAACCCUGAUGCAGCAACGCGCGUGCGCGAUGUCGGACUUCGGGUUGUAAACCGCUUUCAGCCAUGACGCGGUAUUGGCAGAAGAAGCACCGGCUAACUGCGUGCCAGCAGCCGCGGUAAUAC
RNAcentral lists this ribosomal RNA (404 nucleotides) under uncultured bacterium. RNAcentral describes it as "partial 16S ribosomal RNA". It matches the Rfam family "Bacterial small subunit ribosomal RNA", at positions 28 to 526 of the family's 1533-position model. The record is from RNAcentral.